Molecule: long non-coding RNA, 1031 nt
Organism: Meriones unguiculatus (Mongolian gerbil)
Lineage: Eukaryota; Metazoa; Chordata; Mammalia; Rodentia; Muridae
Exons: 3
Source: RefSeq, a predicted model, not a curated record
CUCGAGGCUCUGUGGCUGCCAUUUUCUCAGAGGUGUCUAUGUGAGUGAAAAACGGUGUCUCAGGAAAUCUUGGUGGCUUCAUCUCAUUUCCAAUGUUCGUGGAAGUAGCACUUCGUUGAAAGCAUUGCUAUAACUAUUCUGCCAUAGGAAUACUUCUGUCUAUCUGCUUUCUCAUCCAAGAAAUUGUCAUCACACUGCUCAGGCUUCGUCUCUGAUGAGAUGUGUCCCUCAAUCCAUACGAAUGAUUUUGCAUCAAAGGACACGCACCUCUUUUGGAAGACUUGAGUUUUGUUCUUAGGAAGGCCGCUUUAGUUGAAUGUGUUAAGUGAAAUGCUUAUACUUUCCUCCCCCUCUGUCAACUGCUGCGGAUGCUGUAUGGUGUGUGCACUCCUCUGUUAUUGAUCUGGAGGAGUAGAAACCUGAGCUGAAGCUGAUAGGCUGAGAACACAGACUGAGCUUAUGGAGUGCUUUGCAGAAGAACUUGGAAGCAGAGUUCUCCAGUGAGCUCAGGUGUCUAAAGGAGGGUGGAAGUUCUCAUAUCUGUUAGCUACUCUAAAGCUGUGGAAGAGAGGAAACAGGAUGGGAACCUACUAUAGAGGGUUCUCUGAAAGGAUCCAUCAAACAGUGGAUAGAAGCAGGUGCUGAGAUACACAGUCAAAAUUUGGGCAGUGUGCAGGGUGUCUUAUGGAGGAAGAGAGGGGUAGGGAUAGAGGGACAUGGAGGGGACAGGAGCUCCAUAAGGAGACCAACAGAGGUAAAGGAUCUGAGCCCAAGGGGUCCUGCAGACACUGAUGCACCAACUGAGGUCCAUGCAUGGAGAGGCCCUAGACCCUCUGCUCAGACGUGGUCAAUUGGCAGCUCAGUCUCCAUGUGAAUCUAUGAGUGAGGAGAGAAGGGGCUGCCUCUAUCAUGAACUCAUUUUCCUGCUCUUUGACCACUCCUCCCCCUCCCCUGUGAUGCGGUCUUGCCAGGUCAUGGAGGAAGAAGAUCCAGGCAGUCCUGAUGAGACUAGCUCUGGGCAGAUGACAAUA